Molecule: non-coding RNA, 29 nt
Filed under: Rattus norvegicus (Norway rat)
Lineage: Eukaryota; Metazoa; Chordata; Mammalia; Rodentia; Muridae
Source: RNAcentral
UGGAUGCUGAGAUUCCUAAGUGAACGGUC